AGUAGGUCUGAGUGCAAGUUGACCUAAUUUGAUUAGAUUCCUUCUAAUCGAUUAAGGUCCAAAAUGAGCUAACCCGAGUUCAACAAUUAGAAUCCUUUCUAAUUGGCGAUUGAAUUAAAUUCUUUAAUUUGAUCAAACUUACAAGUCAAAAUUGACUUAUAUCAAUGUAUCAUGACUAUCCAGAAAAUAUAAACCUUGAUGAAAAUAUAAACAUGCCCUA
This 220-nucleotide long non-coding RNA is filed under the name Elaeis guineensis (African oil palm). RNAcentral's name for it is "long non-coding RNA (EGUI_LNC050407)". Lineage: Eukaryota; Viridiplantae; Streptophyta; Magnoliopsida; Arecales; Arecaceae. The record is from RNAcentral.